UAGUGAUCCGGUGGUUCUGAAUGGAAGGGCCAUCGCUCAACGGAUAAAAGGUACUCCGGGGAUAACAGGCUGAUACCGCCCAAGAGUUCAUAUCGACGGCGGUGUUUGGCACCUCGAUGUCGGCUCAUCACAUCCUGGGGCUGAAGUAGGUCCCAAGGGUAUGGCUGUUCGCCAUUUAAAGUGGUACGCGAGCUGGGUUUAGAACGUCGUGAGACAGUUCGGUCCCUAUCUGCCGUGGGCGCUGGAGAAUUGAGGGGGGCUGCUCCUAGUACGAGAGGACCG
RNAcentral lists this ribosomal RNA (282 nucleotides) under Klebsiella pneumoniae. RNAcentral describes it as "partial 23S ribosomal RNA". It matches the Rfam family "Bacterial large subunit ribosomal RNA", at positions 2413 to 2694 of the family's 2925-position model. The record is from RNAcentral. Lineage: Bacteria; Pseudomonadati; Pseudomonadota; Gammaproteobacteria; Enterobacterales; Enterobacteriaceae.